GAUGAACGCUAGCGACAGGCUUAACACAUGCAAGUCGAGGGGCAGCGGGAGUGAAGCUUGCUUCACUCGCCGGCGACCGGCGCACUGGUGAGUAACGCGUAUGCGACCUGCCCGCGGCCGGGGGAUAAUCCAUAGAAAUGUGGUCUAAUACCCCAUAUGCCGGAUUCCCACAUGGGGAUUCGUUGAAAGGAGAGAUCCGGGCGCGGAUGGGCAUGCGUCUGAUUAGCUGGUUGGCGGGGCAACGGCCCACCAAGGCGACGAUCAGUAGGGGUUCUGAGAGGAAGGUCCCCCCANAUUGGUACUGAGACACGGACCAAACUCCUACGGGAGGCAGCAGUGAGGAAUAUUGGUCAAUGGGCGGAAGCCUGAACCAGCCAAGUCGCGUGAGGGAUGACGGUCCUACGGAUUGUAAACCUCUUUAGCCGGGGAGUAAAGUGAGCGACGUGUCGCUCAUUGAGAGUACCCGGAGAAUAAGCAUCGGCUAACUCCGUGCCAGCA
This 498-nucleotide ribosomal RNA is filed under the name uncultured bacterium. RNAcentral's name for it is "bacterial SSU rRNA". It matches the Rfam family "Bacterial small subunit ribosomal RNA", at positions 28 to 513 of the family's 1533-position model. The record is from RNAcentral.